This 255-nucleotide ribosomal RNA is filed under the name uncultured bacterium. RNAcentral describes it as "partial 16S ribosomal RNA". It matches the Rfam family "Bacterial small subunit ribosomal RNA", at positions 524 to 776 of the family's 1533-position model. The record is from RNAcentral.
UACGUAGGGUGCGAGCGUUGUCCGGAAUUAUUGGGCGUAAAGAGCUUGUAGGCGGUUUGUCGCGUCUGCUGUGAAAAUCCGGGGCUCAACCCCGGACUUGCAGUGGGUACGGGCAGACUAGAGUGUGGUAGGGGAGACUGGAAUUCCUGGUGUAGCGGUGAAAUGCGCAGAUAUCAGGAGGAACACCGAUGGCGAAGGCAGGUCUCUGGGCCACUACUGACGCUGGAGAAAGCGAAAGCAUGGGGAGCGAACAGG